UGAGGAAUUUUGGUCAAUGGGCGAAAGCCUGAACCAGCAACGCCGCGUGAAGGAUGAAGGCCCUCGGGUCGUAAACUUCUUUUAGGGGAGAAGAGAAAGGACGGUAUCCCCUGAAUAAGCCACGGCAAACUACGUGCCAGCAGCCGCGGUAAAACGUAGGUGGCGAGCGUUAUCCGGAUUUACUGGGCGUAAAGCGCUUGUAGGUGGUUUUGUAAGUUGGGCGUGAAAUCUCUGGGCUUAACUUGGAGAGGCCGUCCAAUACUGCGAGGCUAGAGGUUAUUCGAGGAAAGUGGAAUUCCUGGUGUAGUAGUGAAAUGCGUAGAUAUCAGGAGGAACACCCGUGGCGAAGGCGGCUUUCUAGGAUAUACCUGACACUGAGAAGCGACAGCUAGGGGAGCAAACAG
This 404-nucleotide ribosomal RNA is filed under the name uncultured bacterium. Its description in RNAcentral is "bacterial SSU rRNA". It matches the Rfam family "Bacterial small subunit ribosomal RNA", at positions 355 to 775 of the family's 1533-position model. The record is from RNAcentral.